GACGAACGCUGGCGGCGUGCUUAACACAUGCAAGUCGAACGGAAAGGCCCUGCUUUUGUGGGGUGCUCGAGUGGCGAACGGGUGAGUAACACGUGAGUAACCUGCCCUUGACUUUGGGAUAACUUCAGGAAACUGGGGCUAAUAUCGGAUAGGAGCUCCUGCUGCAUGGUGGGGGUUGGAACGUUUCGGCGGUUGGGGAUGGACUCGCGGCUUAUCAGCUUGUUGGUGGGGGAGUGGCUUACCAAGGCUUUGACGGGUAGCCGGCCGGGGAGGGUGACCGGCCACAUUGGGCCUGAGGUACGGCCCAGACUCCUACGGGAGGCAGCAGUGGGGAAUAUUGCCCAGUGGGCGGGAGCCUGAUGCAGCAACGCCGCGUGCGGGAUGACGGCCUUCGGGUUGUAAACCGCUUUCGCCUGUGACGAAGCGUGAGUGACGGUAAUGGGUAAAGAAGCACCGGCUAACUACGUG
This 468-nucleotide ribosomal RNA is filed under the name uncultured bacterium. Its description in RNAcentral is "partial 16S ribosomal RNA". It matches the Rfam family "Bacterial small subunit ribosomal RNA", at positions 28 to 507 of the family's 1533-position model. The record is from RNAcentral.